Molecule: ribosomal RNA, 486 nt
Filed under: uncultured bacterium
Lineage: Bacteria
Description: partial 16S ribosomal RNA
Rfam family: Bacterial small subunit ribosomal RNA
Source: RNAcentral
AUUGAACGCUGGCGGCAUGCCUUACACAUGCAAGUCGAACGGCAGCACGGGUGCUUGCACCUGGUGGCGAGUGGCGAACGGGUGAGUAAUACAUCGGAACAUGUCCUGUAGUGGGGGAUAGCCCGGCGAAAGCCGGAUUAAUACCGCAUACGAUCUACGGAUGAAAGCGGGGGACCUUCGGGCCUCGCGCUAUCGGGUUGGCCGAUGGCUGAUUAGCUAGUUGGUGGGGUAAAGGCCUACCAAGGCGACGAUCAGUAGCUGGUCUGAGAGGACGACCAGCCACACUGGGACUGAGACACGGCCCAGACUCCUACGGGAGGCAGCAGUGGGGAAUUUUGGACAAUGGGCGAAAGCCUGAUCCAGCAAUGCCGCGUGUGUGAAGAAGGCCUUCGGGUUGUAAAGCACUUUUGUCCGGAAAGAAAUCCUUGGCCCUAAUACGGUCGGGGGAUGACGUUACCGGAAGAAUAAGCACCGGCUAACUACGUG